RNAcentral lists this ribosomal RNA (252 nucleotides) under uncultured bacterium. RNAcentral's name for it is "partial 16S ribosomal RNA". It matches the Rfam family "Bacterial small subunit ribosomal RNA", at positions 524 to 776 of the family's 1533-position model. The record is from RNAcentral.
UACGUAGGUCCCGAGCGUUGUCCGGAUUUAUUGGGCGUAAAGCGAGCGCAUGUGGUUUAUUAAGUCUGGUGUAAAAGGCAGUGGCUCAACCAUUGUAUGCAUUGGAAACUGGUAGACUUGAGUGCAGGAGAGGAGAGUGGAAUUCCAUGUGUAGCGGUGAAGUGCGUAGAUAUAUGGAGGAACACCGGUGGCGAAAGCGGCUCUCUGGCCUGUAACUGACACUGAGGCUCGAAAGCGUGGGGAGCAAACAGG